This 415-nucleotide ribosomal RNA is filed under the name uncultured bacterium. RNAcentral describes it as "bacterial SSU rRNA". It matches the Rfam family "Bacterial small subunit ribosomal RNA", at positions 29 to 485 of the family's 1533-position model. The record is from RNAcentral.
AACGAACGCUGGCGGCAUGCCUAACACAUGCAAGUCGAACGAGACCUUCGGGUCUAGUGGCGCACGGGUGCGUAACACGUGGGAAUUUGCCUCGGGGUAUGGAAUAAACUCAGGGAAACUUGAGCUAAUACCAUAUAAUGUCUUCGGACCAAAGAUUUAUCGCCCUGAGAUAAGCCCGCGUAGGAUUAGCUAGUUGGUGGGGUAAAGGCUCACCAAGGCGACGAUCCUUAGCUGGUCUGAGAGGAUGAUCAGCCACACUGGGACUGAGACACGGCCCAGACUCCUACGGGAGGCAGCAGUGGGGAAUAUUGGACAAAUGGGCGAAAGCCUGAUCCAGCAAUGCCGCGUGAGUGAUGAAGGCCUCGGUUGUAAGACGUCUUUACUUCGGGUACGAGUAAUAGACGGUACCGACGAG